This 451-nucleotide ribosomal RNA is filed under the name uncultured Fibrobacter sp. Its description in RNAcentral is "partial 16S ribosomal RNA". It matches the Rfam family "Bacterial small subunit ribosomal RNA", at positions 341 to 792 of the family's 1533-position model. Lineage: Bacteria; Pseudomonadati; Fibrobacterota; Fibrobacteria; Fibrobacterales; Fibrobacteraceae. The record is from RNAcentral.
ACGGAAGGCAGCAGUAGGGAAUAUUGCACAAUGGGGGAAACCCUGAUGCAGCAACGCCACGUGUGGGAAGAAGCAUUUCGGUGUGUAAACCACUGUCGUGAGGGAAUAAGGCAUUGUUUCGGCGAUGUUGAAUGUACCUCGAAAGGAAGCACCGGCAAACUUCGUGCCAGCAGCCGCGGUAAUACGAGGGGUGCAAGCGUUGUUCGGAAUCACUGGGCGUAAAGGGAGCGCAGGCGGAGAUGCAAGCGGACUGUACAAUACCGGGGCCCAACCCCGGACCUGCAGACCGGACUGCAUUUCUUGGAUAGUUCAGGGGCAAGCGGAAUUCCUGGUGUAGCGGUGGAAUGCGUAGAGAUCAGGAAGAACACCGAUGGCGAAGGCAGCUUGCUGGGGACUUAUCGACGCUCAUGCUCGAAAGUGCGGGUAGCAAACAGGAUUAGAUACCCUGGUA